Populus nigra (black poplar) is the source of this 1678-nucleotide long non-coding RNA. RefSeq lists it as uncharacterized. NCBI's taxonomy places the organism in Eukaryota, Viridiplantae, Streptophyta, Magnoliopsida, Malpighiales, Salicaceae. The transcript is spliced from 2 exons. The record is from RefSeq and is a predicted model, not a curated record.
UAGCACCACCACUACAGAAAAGGAAACACUGACAAUUAAGCACCGAAACCAAGCCUUUUGCAUCGGUAAGAACCAAGAGCUGAAACAGUGACAAGGCGCAAUUCUAAAGCCUUAAAAUUUGCAAACACUUCGACCAAGAAGAUGAAAACCAUGCUCACGAUUUCCACACUAACACGAGCCAAGUAGUUCUCCACCUUGAACUCCUCACAAACUUCCACUUGUACACUCUCCUUGCCUCACACCUUUCUUCUUGAUCAUAUCUCCCAUCUCUCUCUCUCCUCUUAAAUUUCACUACUGGAGUUCGCAUCUCCAUUUCCUUUCCUCUUUUCGCUGUACAUAACUUAGUUCACUCAAAAAUUAGCCAAAGAAAAACUAGAGCAAAAUGUCAGGUGGUGUUGGCCCUUCAUGUAGUGACAUAAGCCUUCCAAAUGAAAGAGAACAAAAACAGAAACUCCAAGAAGACCUGUCUUAAUUGAAAAACCCUAAAAGCACUACCUCUUCAAAGAAAGCUGGUUUUGUGGCAUGGUAAGCCUUCAAGACUUUGCUUUUGUUGUCUUUUCCAUUAUUUAAAUGCAUUUUUUUCUCCAAAGUUGCAUUCCCCACCACUAUCAACCCUCCAAGAGAGUCUAGUUUUUUACCCAAAAAACCAAGAUUCUCGGCCUAUACGUGUUUGUUGGUGCUAUUGUUGGACUCUUUCUCCCCCUAGCUUACAUCUUUGAAGACAUUUUCGAGGGAGAUAAAGAAGGAAUCAAAGCUGCAGCACCAGCAGCUCAGGUUUUCAUGGAAGGAGUGGCAUUUUCAGAUAGGUUUUCGAUCCCAAUACGUGUUUUUGUGCCUGUGUUUUAUAAUUCAAGGAGGAUUUCACACUUGUGGAUUGGUUGAGGAAUGAGAUCACAAAGGUGGAGCAGGAUUACGGAGGAUCUACUAGGAGGCUCCACAUUGGUAGAGCUCUUGCUGUGGCUAACCUGGCCUUUUGGAGCUUGUUUACAUCCCUGGAGCCUUCAAGAAGUACUACACUGGAUUGAAGAGGUGACAGAGCACAACAAGGGAAAAACAUCAAAACAUUCUAUGCGUAGAGGAGAAUGCAGCUUCUGUUCACUAUUUAAAAUCGAGUCCCCGAAUACCCCUGAACAAAAAUUUCGUAUGCUUUUACGAAGGUCUUACUAUAUAAUUACAAACCACAUACUGAAAAAUCAAUACUCUACCAGUUUUCUCGUAUUAAAGUUCCACUUCCACUCAUGACACCAAGCAACAUCUAGGAACACGCGGAGUCCCCAAAGGAUUUGCAAGAUAAGCAACUAUAUAUCCCCAAAUCUUUGUCAAUACAUUAGAGAUCUUCAUGAAGAAGCCGAUAGGAAGCAUUCUGAAAAAUGAGGAGAAAAAUUUGAAUGACAUUCAAAGGGAAGACAAAAACUGUGGAAGCAAUAUUUUUCAAAAGGUACAGGAGCUUGCCGAUGAAAACAGCUGAAAGUCACAAGCAAAGCCAAUAACGCGCAAGAAUACAGACAACUGAGCGUAUUGUGCUCAAGUUGUCUACUCUGAGUUCUUUUUACUUCUAUUUUCUAAGCUUUUCGAACGUACGAAGAUGCCCAGAAAGAAUGUUGCAUUUUUGGUGGGUUAAACAAACAAUAUACUCACAUGCAAUACACACCAGAUAAUGGCCUCAAUUCUUCUGGCA